UACAGAGGUCUCAACCGUUGUUCGGAUUCAUUGGGCGUAAAGGGUGCGUAGGCGGUCGCGCAAGUCGGAUGUGAAAUCUCAGGGCUCAACCCUGAAACUGCAUUCGAUACAGCGUGGCUAGAGUACUGGAGAGGAGACUGGAAUUUACGGUGUAGCAGUGAAAUGCGUAGAUAUCGUAAGGAAGACCAGUGGCGAAGGCGAGUCUCUGGACAGUAACUGACGCUGAGGCACGAAGGUCAGGGGAGCAAACGGG
RNAcentral lists this ribosomal RNA (253 nucleotides) under uncultured bacterium. Its description in RNAcentral is "partial 16S ribosomal RNA". It matches the Rfam family "Bacterial small subunit ribosomal RNA", at positions 524 to 776 of the family's 1533-position model. The record is from RNAcentral.